AAGUGGACUCAGAUCGGGGAGGUAGCGGUUCCCUGUUGCCGGCAAGCCCGCUUACGCCGGGAUUGAAGCCUUGGGGGCGGCCUGUCAUUUAUUGCAGUGCCGAUGCGCAACUGUGACCUUCUGUCCCUUAAGGUUGUUUGCCUAAAGCCAACCCCGCAAGGCCCGGAAGGGAGCAGCGGUAACUUUUGCACUCAAUGCUUAAGGACAAACGGAAGCGAGGAACGCAAUCGGAUAAACACUGCAGUGAGUGGUCUGGCCCACUUCAGGGCGCGUCCACAC
Molecule: signal recognition particle RNA, 279 nt
Filed under: Candidatus Iainarchaeum sp.
Lineage: Archaea; Nanobdellati; Candidatus Iainarchaeota; Candidatus Iainarchaeia; Candidatus Iainarchaeales; Candidatus Iainarchaeaceae
Description: signal recognition particle sRNA
Rfam family: Archaeal signal recognition particle RNA
Source: RNAcentral